Molecule: ribosomal RNA, 301 nt
Filed under: uncultured bacterium
Lineage: Bacteria
Description: partial 16S ribosomal RNA
Rfam family: Bacterial small subunit ribosomal RNA
Source: RNAcentral
CAGUCGCCGCGGGAAUACGAAGGGGGCUAGCGUUGUUCGGAAUUACUGGGCGUAAAGCGCACGUAGGCGGAUAUUUAAGUCAGGGGUGAAAUCCCGCAGCUCAACUGCGGAACUGCCUUUGAUACUGGGUAUCUUGAGUAUGGAAGAGGUUAGUGGAAUUGCGAGUGUAGAGGUGAAAUUCGUAGAUAUUCGCAGGAACACCAGUGGCGAAGGCGGCUAACUGGUCCAUAACUGACGCUGAGGUGCGAAAGCGUGGGGAGCAAACAGGAUUAGAUACCCGUGUAGUCCCUGUCUCUUAUAC